Molecule: non-coding RNA, 314 nt
Organism: Pelobates cultripes (western spadefoot toad)
Lineage: Eukaryota; Metazoa; Chordata; Amphibia; Anura; Pelobatidae
Source: the annotation of a GenBank genome assembly
GGAAGUAGUUGCACACUGUGAGGUGUAAGAUUGCAGAUUUGUGCAAAUGCAUCGCAUUUGUAUAGGUAGCUUUACUUUUACCUUCUUUGCUGUCGUUUGCAAAAAAAACCCAAAUGUUUGUGGUUAAAUAUUUGCCUUUUAUUGUCUAAAUAUAAAUCUCAGGACAGGGACAGUAUGCUGGGUGGCUCUUUACCUUUUGAAUUGGUCUGUGUAUAGUUCCCCUCCCCCAAUUGUACAGCGCUGCAGAAAAUUUUGGCGCUUUAUAAAUGCCACUAAUACAAAUAACAUAUAUUAUAACUGUUUUUAAAUGCAAC